AACGUUAGCGGCGCGCCUAACACAUGCAAGUCGCACGAGAAAGGGCUUCGGCCCCAGUAAAGUGGCGCACGGGUGAGUAACACGUGGGUAAUCUGCCCUCGGGCGGGGGAUAACAUUCCGAAAGGAGUGCUAAUACCGCAUAAGACCACGGUCCCGAAAGGGACUGAGGUCAAAGCUGGCCUCUUCAUGAAAGCUAGCACCUGAGGAUGAGCCCGCGGCCCAUCAGCUAGUUGGCAGGGUAAUGGCCUACCAAGGCGAAGACGGGUAGCUGGUCUGAGAGGAUGAUCAGCCACACUGGAACUGAGACACGGUCCAGACUCCUACGGGAGGCAGCAGUGGGGAAUCUUGCGCAAUGGGCGAAAGCCUGACGCAGCGACGCCGCGUGAGUGAUGAAGGCCUUCGGGUUGUAAAGCUCUGUGGGGAGAGACGAAUAAGUGCAGCCUAAUACGUUGCAUGAUGACGGUAUCUCCUUAGCAAGCACCGGCUAACUCUGUGCCAGCAGCCGCGGUAAGACAGAGGGUGCAAACGUUGUUCGGAAUUACUGGGCGUAAAGCGUGUGUAGGCGGCCAUGCAAGUCGGAUGUGAAAGCCCUGGGCUCAACCCAGGAAGUGCACUCGAUACUGCGUGGCUUGAGUAUCGGAGAGGUUGGUGGAAUUCUCGGUGUAGAGGUGAAAUUCGUAGAUAUCGAGAGGAACACCGGUGGCGAAGGCGGCCAACUGGACGAAUACUGACGCUGAGACACGAAAGCGUGGGGAGCAAACAGGAUUAGAUACCCUGGUAGUCCACGCCGUAAACGAUGGGUGCUAGGUGUCGCGGGCUUUGACUCCUGCGGUGCCGUAGCAAACGCAUUAAGCACCCCGCCUGGGAAGUACGGCCGCAGGCUAAAACUCAAAG
RNAcentral lists this ribosomal RNA (894 nucleotides) under uncultured bacterium. RNAcentral describes it as "bacterial SSU rRNA". It matches the Rfam family "Bacterial small subunit ribosomal RNA", at positions 32 to 906 of the family's 1533-position model. The record is from RNAcentral.